AAACAUCGCCUCUUGCUUAAAUAUAAGAGGUCUAGCCUGCCCAGUGACCUAGUUCAACGGCCGCGGUAUCCUAACCGUGCGAAGGUAGCGUAAUCACUUGUUCUUUAAAUGGGGACUAGUAUGAACGGCAUCACGAGGGUUAUGCUGUCUCCUUUUUCUAAUCAAUGAAACUGAUCUCCCCGUGAAGAAGCGGGCAUAAUAAUAUAAGACGAGAAGACCCUAUGGAGCUUUAAACUAUUAUAGCACUGGCCCAUCCACUCCAUGUUUCAGAACUACGACACUCACUAUAGCCUUAAUGACUAUUAGUUUUAGGUUGGGGUGACCGCGGAGCAAAAACUAACCUCCACAUUGAAAAGAACCUUUCUUGAGCCCAAAGCCACGACUUCAAGCACCAACAAACUGACAUACAUUGACCCAAGAAAUUGAGCAACGAACCAAGUUACCCUAGGGAUAACAGCGCAAUCCACUUCAAGAGCCCCUAUCGACAAGUGGGUUUACGACCUCGAUGUUGGAUCAGGGUAUCCCAGUGGCGCAGCCGCUACUAAUGGUUCGUUUGUUCAACGAUUAAAACCCUACGUGAUC
This 582-nucleotide ribosomal RNA is filed under the name Dendropsophus kamagarini. Its description in RNAcentral is "partial large subunit ribosomal RNA". It matches the Rfam family "Bacterial large subunit ribosomal RNA", at positions 1811 to 2605 of the family's 2925-position model. Lineage: Eukaryota; Metazoa; Chordata; Amphibia; Anura; Hylidae. The record is from RNAcentral.